Molecule: non-coding RNA, 282 nt
Organism: Vigna umbellata (rice bean)
Lineage: Eukaryota; Viridiplantae; Streptophyta; Magnoliopsida; Fabales; Fabaceae
Source: RefSeq, a predicted model, not a curated record
AGAUCUUUCAUAUAACAACUUCAGUGUUGGAAACCAAGAGCCAAAAACAUGCUACCAGAAAAAUGUGAACUUGUUUGCAAGCUUCUCAAGGCAUAACUUAGGACCAGUGUCUUGUGACAGCAGCAAUAGAAACUGUACCAAAAGUAAGUUAACAAAAUGUGUAACUUCUGUAAACUAAAUUGUCUUACUAAUAUUGUAAUUCUCUUUGCCAACGUCUGCAACAACAUAAGUUAUCUUUCUUGUAUGGAUUCCUUACCUCCACCAUCAACAACAGAAAAGAAA